UUUAAAUAAUAGAAAACAGUGCAAGGUCAAUGAUGUAAUCGCUUAUUUGACAGUUGUAAACAAAGUGAAAGAAACGUUGCAUUCUGGUAACCACUUCCGAACGUGUCUGCAACGUUGCACCCGAAAAUUCGGUCGAAUGUUUGAGAAGGAUGUUGUAACCGAAAAUUCGGUCGAACUUUUGAGAAGGAUGUUGUAACAACGUUGCUUCUAGAUAAAGUAUUGUGCUACUUCAGUCUGCGUCGUGAAUAGCCUUAUAACGCAGGCGGAUUAC
Long non-coding RNA from Dreissena polymorpha, 271 nucleotides. RefSeq lists it as uncharacterized. NCBI's taxonomy places the organism in Eukaryota, Metazoa, Mollusca, Bivalvia, Myida, Dreissenidae. The transcript has 3 exons. The record is from RefSeq and is a predicted model, not a curated record.